Molecule: ribosomal RNA, 228 nt
Filed under: uncultured Actinomycetales bacterium
Lineage: Bacteria; Bacillati; Actinomycetota; Actinomycetes; Actinomycetales
Description: partial 16S ribosomal RNA
Rfam family: Bacterial small subunit ribosomal RNA
Source: RNAcentral
GGUGAGUAACACGUGAGUAACCUGCCCUUGACUUUGGGAUAACUUCAGGAAACUGGGGCUAAUACCGGAUAGGAGCUCCUGCUGCAUGGUGGGGGUUGGAAAGUUUCGGCGGUUGGGGAUGGACUCGCGGCUUAUCAGCUUGUUGGUGGGGUAGUGGCUUACCAAGGCUUUGACGGGUAGCCGGCCUGAGAGGGUGUACGGCCACAUUGGGACUGAGAUACGGCCCAG